CGAGUUUGCUCUUCUUGGUCACGACCCUUGGUUCCUGUGUUGGCUUCCCGUUGUAUGGAAUAAUUCGUGAGUCAGCCCCGCACCUGUCCUUGUUGUGGCUUUGCGGCUCCGAUGCGGACCUCGAAAGCAGUCCCUGCGUCUCGGGCAUGUCCUCUGACUUUUGUCGUGGCUGUCUCGGUCCACAGGACAACUGCUCGUUCUCCCGGAUGUGGAAAAUUAAAAGGGCGUGGGGGGGUCUCGGCCUCCGGCUGCUCCAAUUUAGUCCCUCGAUAGGAAUGACACUCGCUGCCCCGUCGAUGGCCUGCGGCAUCGAUGCGGGUCCGAAGUCGAGAAAGAAUGCUACCUGG
This 347-nucleotide unclassified non-coding RNA is filed under the name Ficus tannoensis. Its description in RNAcentral is "partial contains external transcribed spacer and 18S ribosomal RNA". The record is from RNAcentral. Lineage: Eukaryota; Viridiplantae; Streptophyta; Magnoliopsida; Rosales; Moraceae.